ACACAAUGUACUUACAUGGGAUCUUUAGAAGGACUGACUGUCAUGGGGUGCAACCUGCAUACCUUUUGUUUUUACCCAACUUUGGGGGAAGGAAUUUGUGCGUCAUUUGACAGAAAUUUUUAGAAGAUAAGGUCCCCAAUGCGCCCUAUUUUCACAACUGAAGAAUAAUAUAACAGGCCAAGCAGGGGUCUGUGCAGAUAGAAAGAUUUGCAGGAAGAUUGUUCAAUACGAGUAAUAAGACCGUUGGGAGAAUGGACAAGAAGUGCGACAAAUGCCAGAAAUCUUGCAACAAGUCUGUCAUAAUAACAGAUGGAAAAAAAAAGAAUUGCAAAUGCAAGUGUGCUAAACCACAACCACUACCGCCAUGCCGACCGAAAUGCAAACCAAAAUGUCAACCACCAUGCCGAACACCAUGCCGACCGCCAUCGCCACCGCCACCGCCAUGCCGACCAUGCCGACCGCCAUCGCCACCGCCACCGCCAUGCCGACCAUCAUGCCAACCGCCAUCACCAUGGUCAGCGCCACCGCCAUGUCGACCGCCAGCGCCACCGCCAUGCCGACCAUCAUGUCACUCACCAUGCGGACCUCCUGAUGAAGUCUGGUAUAUAUGGGAAGAAAAAAAGAAUCCAUAUGAAUGUACCAUUUGUUAGAUUAAUGAUCCUCAUUCUGCAAUUUCUAUUAUAGAUGAAUUUACUUUUUCAUCAAAUAAGGUUUAUGAAUAACUGAUAUAUGUUUCUAUUUGGCGCUAUAUUUAUAAGUCUUUAGGUGGUAUACCCCCUAAAGUAUAUUGUUGUAUUUAAACCUGCUUGUUAACCAGAGGGAAGAGAAUAUACUCUGUUCUCUGUAGAGUUAAAUGUCUAUCAUACAUUUAUGGGUUAAUAAAUUUACUGGUUUGUCAUUGUAUCAA
Long non-coding RNA from Cryptomeria japonica (Japanese cedar), 907 nucleotides. RefSeq lists it as uncharacterized. The transcript has 3 exons. The record is from RefSeq and is a predicted model, not a curated record. Lineage: Eukaryota; Viridiplantae; Streptophyta; Pinopsida; Cupressales; Cupressaceae.